RNAcentral lists this ribosomal RNA (900 nucleotides) under uncultured archaeon. RNAcentral's name for it is "bacterial SSU rRNA". It matches the Rfam family "Archaeal small subunit ribosomal RNA", at positions 23 to 922 of the family's 1478-position model. The record is from RNAcentral.
GUUACUGCUAUCGGAGUUCGAUUAAGCCAUGCGAGUCUAAAGGUUUCUUCGGAAACCUUGGCGGACUGCUCAGUAACACGUGGAUAACCUACCCUUGGGACUGGAAUAACCCCGGGAAACUGGGGAUAAUACCGGAUAGAUCAGGGAUGCUGGAAUGCACCUUGAUCCAAAGCUCCGGCGCCCAAGGAUGGGUCUGCGACCUAUCAGGUUGUAGUGGGUGUAACGUACCUACUAGCCGACGACGGGUACGGGUUGUGAGAGCAAGAGCCCGGAGAUGGAUUCUGAGACACGAAUCCAGGCCCUACGGGGUGCAGCAGGCGCGAAACCUUUACAAUGUGCGAAAGCAUGAUAAGGGAACUCCGAGUGCCAGUAUCUAAUACUGGCUGUCCUUGUGCCUAAAACGCACAAGAUAGCAAGGGCCGGGUAAGACCGGUGCCAGCCGCCGCGGUAACACCGGCGGCCCGAGUGGUAGCCGCUAUUAUUGGGUCUAAAGGGUCCGUAGCCGGCUCGAUAAGUCCUCUGGGAAAUCUGGUUGCUUAACAAUCAGACUGCCAAGGGAUACUGUCGAACUUGAGACCGGGAGAGGUAAGAGGUACUUCAGGGGUAGGAGUGAAAUCUUGUAAUCCCUGGGGGACCAUCUGUGGCGAAGGCGUCUUACCAGAACGGGUCUGACGGUGAGGGACGAAAGCUGGGGGCGCAAACCGGAUUAGAUACCCGGGUAGUCCCAGCCGUAAACGAUGCUCGCUAUGUGUCAGGUACGGUGUGACCGUAUCUGGUGCCGUAGGGAAGCCGUGAAGCGAGCCACCUGGGAAGUACGGUCGCAAGACUGAAACUUAAAGGAAUUGGCGGGGGAGCACUACAACGGGUGGAGCCUGCGGUUUAAUUGGAUUCAACGCCGGA